CCUACGGGAGGCUGCAGUGGGGAAUAUUGGACAAUGGGGGAAACCCUGAUCCAGCAAUGCCGCGUGUGUGAAGAAGGCCUUCGGGUUGUAAAGCACUUUCAAUAGGGAGGAAAAGCUAUGCGUUAAUAGCGUAUAGCCGUGACGUUACCUAUAGAAGAAGCACCGGCUAACUCCGUGCCAGCAGCCGCGGUAAUACGGAGGGUGCAAGCGUUAAUCGGAAUUACUGGGCGUAAAGCGCGCGUAGGCGGUUUGCUAAGUCAGAUGUGAAAUCCCCGGGCUCAACCUGGGAAUGGCAUUUGAGACUGGUAGGCUAGAAUGUGGUAGAGGUGAGUGGAAUUCCAGGUGUAGCGGUGAAAUGCGUAGAGAUCUGGAGGAACAUCAGUGGCGAAGGCGACUCACUGGGCCAUUAUUGACGCUGAGGUGCGAAAGCGUGGGUAGCA
RNAcentral lists this ribosomal RNA (440 nucleotides) under uncultured bacterium. Its description in RNAcentral is "bacterial SSU rRNA". It matches the Rfam family "Bacterial small subunit ribosomal RNA", at positions 338 to 770 of the family's 1533-position model. The record is from RNAcentral.